CUUCUCGUGGAGUAGUUGGCAACGCGCCUGUUUAGUGAGUAGGAGUCGCGAGUUCGAAUCUCACCGAGAAGA
Molecule: non-coding RNA, 72 nt
Organism: Aedes albopictus (Asian tiger mosquito)
Lineage: Eukaryota; Metazoa; Arthropoda; Insecta; Diptera; Culicidae
Source: Rfam